Non-coding RNA from Podarcis lilfordi (Lilford's wall lizard), 66 nucleotides. Lineage: Eukaryota; Metazoa; Chordata; Lepidosauria; Squamata; Lacertidae. The record is from the annotation of a GenBank genome assembly.
GAGCUCAGUUAGUAGAGCAUUAGACUCUUAAUCUCACAGUUGUGGGUUUGAGCCCUACGUUGGGCA